Molecule: long non-coding RNA, 3401 nt
Organism: Bactrocera neohumeralis
Lineage: Eukaryota; Metazoa; Arthropoda; Insecta; Diptera; Tephritidae
Exons: 2
Source: RefSeq, a predicted model, not a curated record
UAAACGAAAUUAAAAUGUUAAAUCAAUUAUUUCAACUAAAUAACAACUUUUAUCAAUCAUAUAAAAAUAUUGCGUGCAUUUAUCGCAUGUCGCAUUACAACAUUCUAUAAUAUAUUACACGCAGCACGCAAACCUGCACGAAGCAUAGUGAUAAACUAUAACUUUAAUUAUAAGUUGACAAAGUUUUAGGUAUAUAGCUCUUAUAAUGAGAAAGUGGGGCACUCAGCGCCCGUAAUAUUUCUUCAUAAAUUUUGUAUUAAGAAGCGUAAUUUUCUAACGUUUUUGGUGAUUAUUUAUGGUGUACAUUUCUAAUUAGUUUCGCGAAAAAAUUUUCAAGUAAACAGUUAAUUUUUUGUUGUGAAAAAUAUAACUUUUGAAAUGAGUGAAGAGUUGGUGAUUUAAUUGGCCAACUUACUCCUUAAAUUGACGGUAGAACAUUAGGAGAAUAUUUCAAAUUGAUGGUGGAAGAGAACCUAAAUUUGGUGGCGACCACGAAUAGAUACCCAGUGACCAAUCGGACUUCGGCGGUAAUAAUGCUCAGUCCAAAUGUGCAUCAAAUAGUUCCAAAAAAAUAAGAUAUUGGCAAAACACAACUGCCAUAACUAUUUGCAUCCUCUGAAAAAGCUACCAACAUAUUCUAAGAAAACCGUGAUAGUGCUUUCAACUGCUCAUGCCCACGAAGUUUUAAAUUCUGUAACAAAAGACCACUAGUCAAUCUUGAUUAUAAUGGGCAUAAAGGUGGUGUUGAUACUUUUGACGUGGAUUAUCUCUGGAAAUAAAAACAAACGACUAGUCCAUGGCAUUAUUUUAUAAUAUGCUGGAUAUUGCUGGACUUGCAGCACUCAAGCUGUGUGAUCUCAGUCACCCUAUGUGGAACACAAAUAAAUCUGAAAAACGCAAAACAUUUUUGAAAUAACUAUCUAUAGAGCUAGCGCAGAAUCAGUUACAAAACCAAUGCUAAAAUUGUAAUGGACUCGAUAAAUUUCAAACGGUUUCCGGCAGUGGCGAGCUCUCGACCAGCAAUACAGAUCAACAAUUUGAAUCAAUGGAGUAAAACCUGCAAAACUGCUAAGAUCGAUAGUAAAACAACAGCAGUUUGUGACCAUUGCUUUAUUUCGACAUGCUCCAAACACUAUAUAAGGACGUGUGAAAAGUGCUAUUUUACAAAAUACAAUGUCGAAGCUGAUACGGACUCAGAUAAUAAUGAAGAUGCGGACAAUAGUCCAACAACGUCUACACCCAAUCAAAAUGCAUUAAACCACAGCGAAGAAUUUCACCAAUUUGAGCAGUUUGAAAUUAAUACUUUAUUUAAUUUUCGUGUUUUUCAAUAAAAAUACUUUUGUUUCUAGCAAUAAGCACAAGUUUCAUUGAAAUAUUUGCAUAAAUAAGUGAAAUAUUUGCGUUUAUAUAAAAAUAACGUCUUAAAAGUCUAAAUUUCCAUACAAAAUACAUUACUGGGCACUGAGUGCCCAAUUCAUGAGAUUAACUUGUAUAGCUUUGUCACGGUUCUAAGGUUAAAAAUGUUCAUUACCGAAAUAAGGAGUAUUGGUUAAGUUAACCAGAACUUAACUGACAGAAGGCUGCCAACCAGACAUUGAGAAAACGGUCCUGAAAGUUGAGGCAUGCAUUACGCCUUAUGGUCUAAGGAAUGUAUACAUAUAUACAUAUACUUGUAUACAUAAACAAAGCGAGCUGUAAUGCGAUAUGCAUCCAAUGAACGAGAAAAUUUGGAACAAUAGAAGAAAAAUUUCGCUUUCAAUAUUAUUAUAAUGUGUGCUUAGCACUCGCAAUAUAGUAUAUGUUAAAAAUGUAUUUGCUUAAUUGUUGUUUCAUUUUCUGUAGCGGGAGACGCUGAUUCAAAUAGAAACAUCAAUAAGGGUAAUUAGAAUCCGGUGCAAAUGGUCUUGCAAAUGCAAAUUUCGGUGCAAGUGCAAAAUAUUUUUGCACCAUGUUCUUAAACAAAAACAAAUUACAUGUGUUUUGCAAAUGCAACACUGUUAUGCAAAUGCUACACUCAACCCCUAUUGUAUAUGUGCAAAUUAGUAUUGUAUUUCAAAAGCUGAUUUCUUUUGCAUACAUAUUUGUUUCGAUUUUUGGCGCGUCAGGUAAAAUUUUUGGUAAGAAAAGAAAUUUGAAAGAAUUAACAAUUUAAAACUUAAUAAAACUAUUUACAGCAAUAUGAGCGAUAAAAAAGUGAAAAGGGAGCGGCCGAACAAAAAAUGGACAAAGGAAGAAAUCAACAAGCUUCUGGAUUUUUUGGAGGAAGCAGAUGAAAUUGAGGCAAACAUUUUAAGAAGUUUGAAAUGUAUAAAUGCUUAUUUAUUUACUUUUAGUAGGCUCCAACAGCACAAUUUUUUUUACAAAAAAUGCAUUGUUGUUAAGGGAAUCGAAGCCACGUGGGACUUGCUGCGGUGGAAGGUACGCCACCUAAAGAGCACAUUUAAAAAGGCGAUUGAUUAUCGCACCUCAACUGGCGCUGAAAUUGAUGAAAUGGAUGUGGGAGUGGCAGUUUUGAAGGUAAAUAAUAAGAAUUGAAAGUGCUUUGGGAACUUAAGUGAUUAAAUCUUUUACAGAAAAAAUGGAGAAAAUGUGCCCCCAUUACAAUCGCCUAAACAAAAUUUUCGGAGCUAAAUCGCAUGCGCAAAAUAAUUUCUGCGCUGUCGACACGGGCAAUGACUUGCUGCUUAUCGCGCCACAGCCGUCAACAAUUUCACCGUCAACAAUUUCCCCACCAGUAUAUUCACCGCCAAUAGUCUUUCCACCAGCAAUUUCACCGCCAAUAGCCUCGCCACCAGCAUUUCCACCGCAAAUAAUCUCCCCACCAGCAAUAUCACCGCCAAUAGCCUCGCCGCCAGCAGUUCCACCGUCAACAGUUUCGCAGCAACCACUCCCACUUGGGGCCGAUUUUCCACAAUCAGUUAGAACCAUGGCUAAAAAAAUUAAAAUGCAGGCUCCCAAAACAUCAGCGGCUUGUUUGAUGGUUUACCAGCAAAACAGAAUGGAGUUAGAAAAAGAAAAGCUUCAAUUUGAAAAAGAAAAGUUGGAGAAGCACCUAGAACUAUCAAAAGCUGAAAUUGAAUUGAAAAAAGAAGAGCUAAAUCUUAAGAAAAUUAAAUUGGAUCAAGAUGAAAAAAUAACAAGUAAGGAAGGGCUAAGUUCGGGUGUCACCGAACAUUUUAUACUCUCGCAUGAUAAAGUGAUAAUCGAGAUUUCAUUAUCCGUCAUUUAUGUACAUAUUUUUCAAAUACCAUAUUUGUGUAAAGUUUUAUUCCGCUAUCAUCAUUGGUUCUUAAUGUAUAUAUUAUACAGAGAAGGCAUCAGAUGGAAUUCAAAAUAGCGUUAUAUUGGAAGAAGGCGUGGUUGUAAACCGAUUUCACCCAUAUUUCGUGCAUGUCAUCAGG